GUAGAAAUGGCUCAGCAGUUAAGAACACUUGCUAUUCUUGUAAAGGACCUGGGUUCAAUUCCCAGCAUCUACA
Molecule: transfer RNA, 73 nt
Filed under: Cricetulus griseus (Chinese hamster)
Lineage: Eukaryota; Metazoa; Chordata; Mammalia; Rodentia; Cricetidae
Rfam family: tRNA
About the family: Transfer RNA (tRNA) molecules are approximately 80 nucleotides in length. Their secondary structure includes four short double-helical elements and three loops (D, anti-codon, and T loops).
Source: Rfam by way of RNAcentral